Long non-coding RNA from Haplochromis burtoni (Burton's mouthbrooder), 2329 nucleotides. RefSeq lists it as uncharacterized. The record is from RefSeq and is a predicted model, not a curated record. NCBI's taxonomy places the organism in Eukaryota, Metazoa, Chordata, Actinopteri, Cichliformes, Cichlidae. The transcript is spliced from 3 exons.
CGGCCAUGUGCUUAUGAAAACGAAGGAACUGCGCUUGCGCGUUUUACUCAUUCUAUCGCGAUAUUUCAUUAUCCUAUCGUUGCCUAACAUUAUACCGGUAUUACCGAGAACGGUAUAAUAUGGCCUAGCCAUAACUCACAGGUCAGGUGCACACAGCCACUUAAUCAGGUGUAAAGACUGAGCACACGUCUCAGGGUGACCUGCUGUCCUCCAGCCAAUCAAAGCGUGACGUCUUGGGCUCUCUUCAUUAAAGGGCAUGCUGGCUCCGAGGCGUGCUGGCUCUGAGGUGUGCUCUGCAUUUUUAAUCUUCUUUAACUCCGACUUAGUUUGAAUUUCAGGGUUUUUACUGAAAUCAAAUAAACAUUAAAUGACCUGCUCAGAAUCAGUAGAUCGCCCAGUCCAGGUCCGUCACAUGACUUCCUGUGUGAUUCCAGCCUCAUUUAUUAUCUGUUGUAUUGAUAAGUUUGUAGCCGACCUGCUUCCUCUGUCCAUCCUCAUCUGUUCUGCUUGGUGUGAAGGUUAACGUGUGAUUGGCCGAUUCCUCCCGCAGGGAUUGGUUCACCUCCUUGGUGGGAGGGUUAAAGCGUCUCCUCUGGUUGCAUAACGAGGUUGGGGGGUCAUCUGAGACUCUGAGCUUAGAUCCUCCCUGAUUCGGACUCUCGGUAUCUCACGCUGACGCAGAUCUGAGCCGAAGCCUCCCGAGGCCCAGGCUCCGCCCACACAACCUGCAUCUCAUUAAUAUGCAUGAGACCAAAGCACCACCUGGGACCACGCCUGGCAGACAUCCUUCCUGCUCCGCCCACACACUGUGCUCUUCAUCAUCAUCAUCAUCCUCCUACUCACUGUGGAUGAAGACAUCAUGUCUGAGCCGGACUCACUGACCCUCAGUGACCUCUGACCUCUGACAGUCCUCCUCUGGGACUCCCUAAAGAAGAGGAGAGAUAUACAUGUGAGCACAGCUGAGCGGCCCCCUGAGCUCUGAAUAAAUCACCGUGUUCAUCAGCAGGAGCGCGAGGUUCCAGACGGCUGGAUCUAUUUCUCUGCUGGUUUAGGCACUGGAAACAGACUCUGUGGUGUUUGCUACAGGUUGGUGUUGAUGCUCUUUGGGUGAAAUUGGCCUCUUUUCAUCAGGAACCCUGCACGCCAAGCUGGAGGGAAGCCCGGUGCUGUUGCCACGACAGCAGCGGGUCUGAAGCUCUGCAGCAUCCCUCCAACCUGGCGCCGAUUAACGACGCAAUGAACCGACAGGCUCGUCAAAGCAUCCAGAAUAGAUGACCUGGUUUGUGAAACAGAGGCAGAGGAAGUGUCCUCCAAGUCUGAGCCGUCAGGCUGAUCUGGGUGCGUGAGUUCAUUCUUUCUGUCUCUCUCACACACACGCGCACAUGCACACACACAGGGUGUUACUCCACUGUGAUGGGCGGAGCAUCAAAGUGCCUCUCUCACCUCUCGGCUGGACUGUCACUCAUCCCUGCUGUGCAGGUGGUUUCCAUGGAAACGGGAGGAAACUGGACUCCAGGUCUGUGAUGAUGAGUUUUAAAGCCUCACUACAGCCCAUUAAAUACAGAAAUCAUGAAGAAAAUGUUUUAUUUUGGAAAAAGUUUCGAACCAUUCAUUUAUUUAGUGAUUAUUAUUAUUAAAUAAAUUAUUUAAAGGAACUGUGGUCAGUAGUAGGACCCUACAUUCUGUUUCUCUUAAAUACUUUGUUGACAACUGGAGUCUUCCCUGAAAGUUUUAAAUCAGCUGUGGUAGUGCCGAUCUUAAAAAAAGCCUGGACUGGUGUGAUGGCAUCAGCCACACAGGGGUAAAUUAGUCCAUUUUUUACUUUAUUAGUUUGCUUUGCAGUUUUUUUCAUUAAUCAUUUGGUUAAACCUAACACUGGUAUUAUGAGGCGCGCACAUAGUAACAUUGUGUGGAUUUUCUAAAAUGUUUUGUUAUAUUAAUUAUGUUUCUCUUUCUUUGAGUUACCUGGGUUUGGGCGGUGGCUGUUUCCUGUCUGGGCAAAAGGCGUGGCUUAGGACUCUGGGAACAAAAUGCCUGCUCUGCAGGACCAACCAUGGGCUUACCAGGUGCAGGGGUGUUUUAGGUUUAGUUAGGUUAUUCUGUGCUUAGUUAAUAUUAGUGUGUUUUUGUUUUUCCCCCCUGUUGUGUGUAAAUGGUUUGGCCAAAUCAUUAUAAAAGUUACCCUCAUGUGUCUUUGUAAUUAGGUCAGUUUGUGAGUUAAGUUGUGUCUCACUUUGUUUUGUUUAAGUUUCUGGAAAUUCCUUUUUGUAGAGUUAUAGUUAGUUGACCUCUUUUAUGGGCCUGCUAACUAUGUUUUUGAAUUUUGGAC